UUAAAAAGUGGGGGCCGUCUUACAUUCGGGGUACAGACAUUAUACCCAUGCACUUGUGCGCAGCGGUAAGUUAAAGGUUGCUGGUAUCGACUGAGUAAGUUGCUGUGAUCGUGUGCGUCUUUGACACAAAGUGAGUAUUUCAUUGUUACAAGUGUCCACUGUUGUGCCCUUUGUCCGCAGUUUGCCUUGUGUGUGUGCCGUUUGAUUGACAGCACGCUCCUUGAAGUUUGGCUCGCAUCCUACGAGUAGCCGUUACGCAGUGGCACGGCAACUAACGGUCGCCACCAAAUGUAUUUUGUUGUUUCGAUGACUUAUGUUUGGUGUGUUGCCGAGAGUAUCUCAUUAUGGUUAUUUAGUAUAGCCGAACCGUUACGCCCAGUUAGUGAUGUAAUGUGUGCCGUCUACUAGUGUUGUGUGACGUCAGAAGUCGACUUACGUUCUGCAUUUUGGUCUGUUGCAGAACCACACACACUGUCAAGUGACAUGGUGGUACGAGAUGGUGUAAAAUUAGGUAGCGAUUUUGGCCCAGGCACAUUGGCUAUCCCAAAACAUGUAGUAGUUCAAAAUUUCACCAGGAGAUGGUGUUAAAGCUUGACAUAGGGGUGACCUGAUGGAAAUUAACAAAUCUAAUAAAUUAAAUAGUUAGCAAUUGGGAGGACACGACCUGUUCUAGCACGUAGCAACGCACAAUUUUGGAAUAUGAAUUUGCUAUGCCAUAAUUUUAAGAUGCAACAGCUUGAGCAAUAUCAAUAUAUGUGUUUAGGUUGGAAGAACCCAUUAUUGUGUUAAGUACUAUUAUGUGUUGAGAUUGAUCUUUAUCAGACAAGAUGUAUGUGAUUCAUGUUGCAAUGUUUUGUCCAACCUGUAUUUAACAUUGGUGUUCCAUCCAUACCUGAAUGCAUUAAGUUGAGAGGAGACUUAAGGGCUAAUACUAAAAGUAAAGAACGAGCAAAACAGGAAACAUCUGUUUCCGGUCAUUGCUGCUUGAAGCAAGGUUGCCAAGACAACCAGUGGUUUCUAGCUGGCCUGGACAGGCAUCAGCUAAGGAACAUUCUCGAAACUUCCAGAAACUUCCAGGAAGGCCACCUGACGUGCCAGAUGAUGUAAUUCCGAUUAGCUAAUGCCAGAAGCCUAUAAAUAGGUUGCCCGGACACAGAGCGGCCGCGCUUCUUCCUAGUCAGGGCGAUGGCCGUGACGCUGCCCGGAGUAAAAGAACGAAGAUGGAUUUUGCAUUCUUUUUGAAAUUGAACCAAAAUCUACUAAGAUGAAUUUCCAGAGUCUUCGAAUUGGACUUUGUCAAAUUUUAAGCUUCGAGAAAAGCAGGGGAGAAAUCCACCGGGCAGAAAAGGGGAAGUUGCCACUUUUACUUUCUCCUCAUGGCCAGACCUUUCUUCUUUUUUAAACAGAAUUCGGAUUUUGGAACAAAGGAGAGCCGAUCACUCGGCUUGUUCAACCAAAUAGGAUUUUAGACCUUUAGUUUCCUCUCGUUCUGUCUGGGUGAGUCUUGUUAUUUUGUUUUUUCGACUUGCAAUUCUUUUUCUUGCUUAUUCAUUAAAUCUCUUCUUGAGCCUUAAUUCGGUAUUGAUUAUUUCAUAUUAACUAUGUCGAGCAUGGUGUUAUAUGCGGUAAUUACAACUUUAAAAUGUCUUUAUUUCCCUAUCAUAGUCAUUCUUUAAAUCCGUUCAAUUCUUUUUAAAGUGAAGACAGCUUUAAUCCUUAACAUCAGGAAUUGUCAGAUCUGGUUCGAAGUAGUUAUCUUGAGCUCAGCUAGGGCGAGGGCGCUCUAGUAAAUUAACGAAUCCUUGAGGUCUUAACAAAGGCAUCUAAAAAAUAUCCGUAACGUAAUACCAGCAUCAAACAACCGAAGGGAGCCAUCAUUACGGCGCGGUCAUACCGGCAACUUGCCUCGAAUUGAGUUACUCGGCUCGCGCGUCGGAUGACUUGAAAGGGGUUGGCGUCGUAUAGAAAUGACAUUGAUUCUGGUAGAAUUAAUUCAACUCGGGUGGUCAGCUACGGGUGAGUCUCUUCGCCCCGGCUUAUUGAACCCGUUACUGGGGAGCCGGAGGCACUUCGAUAAAAAGUGCCCGCUUGACAUUUUGGCGGCCAACGAGUGGAGGGGGGUUGUGAGUUAAGAUUUAUUAAUAGAUGUUUGCCCGCAGCUCCAAAACGAAUAUGUGUGGAGUUUUUUCAGUUUUUUCUUCCUAGGAACGGUCAUAAUUCCGCUCACCGAUACAAACAAAUGUCAGAACGGCCUUGAGUGACAUAAAAACAGUCGCUUUAAGGAAUAGAGUUUCCUAGAAAAGAUCAUUUUAAAGCAUGGGAGGAUUAGAACUGUUUUGUGUAAUAGUAAACGGUGACCGCUACCCCUUAGCACGUUGCUAUAAGGAUGAGUUUUGUUCGCAGAGUAUUCGGCAGAACUUGCGAAAGCUAGAGGGGUCGGUACAUGGGCACGUUUCUUGCGUGGCGGUACAUUGAAACUCAGAAAGUGCAUCCCGCCGUUGAGAGCAUCAAUUAGCGAGGCGGGAGUUCUCGAAUUGGUGUUCUGAGUAGAGGCGACGCAAAAGGCGCCGUUGAGUAACUAAGAGCUGUAUCGUCCCUAUUCCGAGUGCACACGGAAAGGCUUCAAAAGGAGACAGCUCGAACCUUCAACUAUUUUUUGGAGGCGGCUUGUGAAGCGAAGCUGGCCUCCAGAGUUUGCUAAAUACAUAGUAAAGCUGGCAUGGGAGCGGCGCCUCGCUGUGUAGUGUGUGUGCUUUUUGAGGAAGGAGUAUUAGAGAAUGAAAAAAAGGAAAAAGCUAAAGAGGAAGAGCAGAGCAGGCCGUUUGCCCAGUGGGGGCUGAGUGUCCUCGGGGAGAGUGUUAAAGCGACAGUCUGUGUUUCCCACAGGGUGUUUGAAGCGGGGAGAAGAUGACAUUUGCGCUGCGUUGCUUGUUUGUUUCUAUGUUGUCUGAUGGCGUUAUGUGUUGUAAGACGAAAUUGGCUAUAAUGGUGCACUGAAGAAUAUGCUGGACUGUAGUUUGUCUGGUUUGCACCGCAAAAUGGGAGAAAAAAAAAAGUGGGGGGAUUAGUUGUUUACAGGAACUGGUCUAGCCCUAAUAGAAUUUUUGAUUUUUUUUCCCCCUUUUUUUUAGGACAGAGAGCUUUCUGUCUGAAAUAGCAAAAUUAUGAAAUAAAGACAUUCCAAUCCUAAAGUCAGGAGAACUAGUGGAUUGGCUGUGUCAAGACUAUACAAGUAUUUGCACAGGAAAAUAAGAGAGAUUAGGUUAUAUAAAGUUGAGGCAGCAAGAAUUUUGAUUAAUCUACAUAUUGGCAGCUGUUUUUUUUAAUCCAUUUUCUUUUCUUUUUGGGGAAGUGAGUUAUCAGAAUCUUUGAAAGAAGAAAAAGAGGAAACAGCUGUCUCGAAAAAGGGAACUGUCGACAGCCUUGAGUAAGACCUCUGAGGCUGGCUGACUUAGAAGAAGCUGAACAUUUUUUAAGUUUUUCUUUUUUUUUUUUCUUUCUUCAAAAUUGUAAACAUUUUUGCUGUGAACAAUCAGGAGAUUAUUGAAACGUGACUGAAGAACAUGUGCCAGCAAAAAAUGUUGUAGAGGCAGUCCAAUUGCCACAAAAAGAAAGCUAUAUGCAUGUGUCCAGCACACAAGCACACACACACAGGACUGAUGAGAUGUCAAAAGGAAACGAGUUGCAGACAGGCCCGCAGAAGCAGACACUGCGAAAAGAGACGGAUCAAGAAAGGAUGGAGACCUGCAAGCUCAUUGGGGCUUCAUCCCUAAGAGGGGUUACCGACGUUGGGGAAGAACGCCCGGUGACGCACAGGCAAGAGAAAUUGCUCCCACAGUGCUAGAAAGACUGUUGGAGGUUGUGAACAGACACGCAGGGAGCGUGAGAGUCAUAACCGACAGCCGUUAUGGUGAAGAAGCCCUCAUAGACGUUCUGGCCAUUUGGGAAGAACAUGACUACGGGGGUGUGAAAGGAAGACCGGAUGGGCCCUAGGAGGGGGCCUGCUGGAAGAAUGAAGGUUCAUCGAAACGUCCAAGAAAGGAUAAUUAUAGUUGUAGGAGUUGAGAAAUGGGACAAAACCCCUCGCGGAAAGUGGUCCCAUAUGUGAGUCCGUGAAGAAUGUGGUAACGGCCGUACAUGAAGAUAGGGCACGGAAGAGCCGUGCCUACACGGAAGGAGUUGGAGAAGCUGGAGCUCUGGAUUUCCGAAAGUGCAAUUCGUGCUGCCUUGCAUGAACUGUGUAACAGGUACAGCACAGGUCGCAGAGGACAGCGAACAGACGGAUUGACUUUCAAGCACUGUGCCAUGGGGGCCAGUAUGUCGCUGGACCCAUGUGAGUUGACAGCACAAGAGGUGUGCUUGUGGACUCCUUGUCAAGACAUGAAGGGCUGGAAGCUGUGAGAAGAGCCGACGCCAACAGGAAUCGUGAGCGUGAUCAAGACGCUUGAAGAAUAAAAUCUAGAGGGUGAGCAGUUGAAACCAAUGCCAGCUGACCCGAUUCGAGCUAAGAUGUAACCAAAAGAACCAGAUUACAGCUGACAACUUAGCUGUCCCCGCCUUGGUGUGUUUGGCCGCAUGCAAAGGUGCGGUUAUCAUACGAAGAAAACAGAACGGAAAAAUGGCCGGUCGGGCCCUGGACCUGCUGAGACGAGCCACACGGGGCUGUGUCCCUAGGCGAUGUGACUCUUUUUAUUGGAACAGGGACGACGAAGCACCGUGUGAGCAUUUGUGAGCAUCGUUGUCAAGUGGAAGGAGUCUGAAGUAAAGACCCAAGCCUCCAGGAGGAAGACGACAUCGGUGCUUCGGAGGCAAGACACGUGACGUGGACUGACCUUUGGCGACUCCCGGAGCCUCUGCGGCCCCGGGUCUCCAGAUGUUUUGCAAGAUAAAUAGGUGACCAGUGAGUGUGUAGGCUUACUGUCCCAGCAAUGUUGAGUUGAUGGGGUAACUCCUCAGCAACGGUGAUAUAGAAUGGUGCAAAUUUAGACAGGUAAAUUUGGUAGUUUAACGCACCAGCCAACUUUGCUAAUCUUACAUUAGAUUUGAUUUGCAAAUGUAAGUGGAGGAUAAAUUUGUCAGAGAGUGUCAAAAAGAAUUCGAUAGAAUAAAUCCUGAUUCUAUAAUGUUGAAGGAGUUAGUAAGGACAACUUCCUCCUUUUUUAAAUUGUAAACGUCUUCUUAACAGGGCUCCAAAAAGCCUGUCUGGGAAGGCAUUGGAGAGUGUCAAAAAUAAUUAGAUAGAAUAAGUCCUGAUUUUAUCAUUUUAAAGGAGUUAGUAAUGAUAACUUCCUCCUUUUCAAAUUUUAAACGUCUUCUUAACAGGGCUCCUCAAAGCCUGUUUAGGAAAAUUUGUCAGAGUGUCAAAGUAUAAUGUAGAAUGGUUUUGUAAUAGCAACUACCAUUUUAUUUUUGGGUUUUAUUUUGGAAGCAAAUGAGCGAAACACCUGCCGGCCAGUCCCUCUGCCAUGCGGAGGGAUUGACCGUUCUAUGUUCUAGACUUGUGCGUCUAUGUGUUUCAGACAAGUACGUGUUUUGAAUGCACCCAGGUGCAUUCUUAGUAGAUUGAAUCUGUCGAAAUUUGCCUGGACGGUCGGAAGGUUGUAGUGAGCUGUGGCUUUCCCACAUCCCCGCCGUCUUUAAAUGGCUUGCCCCUAAUGUCAAGCUGGGAGAGCAGGCUAAGAUGAGCGCCUUAGAUGGGGUGGCUACUCUGACCUGAUGACAUCAGCAACGCAGCUCGAGACGUCCCACGGCCCACCGAGACCAUGGGUUGUCCUUGUUUUGAGACAGAGUGAUAUCCUGUCGCACCAUCUGGCCUCUGGUUCACAUGGCUUAGAGCCACCUGGACGGUUCACAAUGCUUCACGUCCCACUGGCGGUGUGGCCGGUGUGUGGCUGUUAGCCUGGCUCAUCAUCCUGUGUCCAAAGACUUCUACACCCGAGUAGAGGGACCCGAUGCUGCUCCUGUCGUGGCUUGCCUCGGACAUUGGUCCGGUGACGGCUUCUUCUUCAAGCCAUCACUGAGGGGGGCGUCAACGUCAACGACAACAUCGACAACAAUGGCAACGGCAGCGACGGCGACAUCAGCGUCCAUCACGGCGGCGUGUUCAUUCAGGACCGCGUGGAGUGCUUGCUUCGGAGGGGCUUGCGGGAUUCAAGGAGGGGAUGUCAAGUGACAUGGUGGUACGAGAUGGUGUAAAAUUAGGUAGCGAAUUUGGCCCAGGCACAUUGGCUAUCCCAAAACAUGUAGUAGUUCAAAAUUUCACCAGGAGAUGGUGUUAAAGCUUGACAUAGGGGUGACCUGAUGGAAAUUAACAAAUCUAAUAAAUUAAAUAGUUAGCAAUUGGGAGGACACGACCUGUUCUAGCACGUAGCAACGCACAAUUUUGGAAUAUGAAUUUGCUAUGCCAUAAUUUUAAGAUGCAACAGCUUGAGCAAUAUCAAUAUAUGUGUUUAGGUUGGAAGAACCCAUUAUUGUGUUAAGUACUAUUAUGUGUUGAGAUUGAUCUUUAUUAGACAAGAUAUAUGUGAUUCAUGUUGCAAUGUUUUGUCCAACCUGUAUUUAACAUUGGUGUUCCAUCCAUACCUGAAUGCAUUAAGUUGAGAGGAGACUUAAGGGCUAAUACUAAAAGUAAAGAACGAGCAAAACAGGAAACAUCUGUUUCCGGUGAUUUCUGCUUGAAGCAAGGUUGCCAAGACAACCAGUGGUUUUUAGCUGGCCUGGACAGGCAUCAGCUAAGGAACAUUCUCGAAACUUCCAGAAACUUCCAGGAAGGCCACCUGACGUGCCAGAUGAUGUAAUUCCAAUUAGCUAAUGCCAGAAGCCUAUAAAUAGGUUGCCCGGACACAGAGCGGGCGCGCUUCUUCCUAGUCAGGGCGAUGGCCGUGACGCUGCCCGGAGUAAAAGAAUGAAGAUGGAUUUUGCAUUCUUUUUGAGAUUGAACCAAAAUCUACUAAAAUGAAUUUCCAGAGUCUUCGAAUUGGACUUUGUCAAAUUUUAAGCUUCGAGAAAAGCAGGGGAGAAAUCCACCGGGCAGAAAAGGGGAAGUUGCCACUUUUACUUUCUCCUCAUGGCCAGACCUUUCUUCUUUUUUAAACAGAAUUCGGAUUUUGGAACAAAGGAGAGCCGAUCACUCGGCUUGUUCAACCAAAUAGGAUUUUAGACCUUUAGUCUCCUCUCGUUCUGUCUGGGAUCUUCUGAAGCCAAACUUGUCAAGACGAGAGCCCCAGAGGAGUGCAUAUUUUGGUAUUUUUUAUUUAUUUAUAUUUGUUCUAGAUUUCAAUGGUUAUCUUGAACAAUGUCAAUAACAGUUUUAAAUAGGCCAAAAUGGUCACACAAACCCUUCAAACAGCACAAAGCGGGAUUUUUGCCUGUCCAUGCACAAAUUAGUGCAAGAAAGACCUCACAACAAACCUGUCCUGCUCAUCAGAAGAGCCUUUAAGAACAACCUACCUGUGUUAGAGCGUCGUCGGAUGCCAAAGUCCCAGCUGGAGGUGAUGUCCAUAGACUGGGAGAGGUCACAAGUGUAACCGUCUGUCAUGGAGCCAAAUCCCUCAUUUAAGGAACUCAAUAUUGCUGACUCAUAGCCGCUACCAGGUACCUGGGUCAGAUGACAUUUCUCCAGAUCCACAUCCUGAUCGAUUAGGACCAUUUCACACAUUCCUGUAUCAUCACUGGUCACGUGGGAUUGUCUGAUGUGGGCAAGAAUAAUAGCUGGAUUGUCCAAGAAGGCCAUUU
Syngnathus typhle (broad-nosed pipefish) is the source of this 7734-nucleotide long non-coding RNA. RefSeq lists it as uncharacterized. The transcript is spliced from 3 exons. NCBI's taxonomy places the organism in Eukaryota, Metazoa, Chordata, Actinopteri, Syngnathiformes, Syngnathidae. The record is from RefSeq and is a predicted model, not a curated record.